GAUGAAGAACGUAGCGAAAUGCGAUAAGUAAUGUGAAUUGCAGAAUUCAGUGAAUCAUCGAAUCUUUGAACGCAUCUUGCGCUCCUUGGUAUUCCGAGGAGCAUGCCUGUUUGAGUGUCAUCAAGUUCUCAAACUGCAUCCAUUUGAAGGGUGUGGAUUUGGAUUAUGGAGUUUGCAGGCUCUUUGAUUGAGGUCUGCUCCUCUGAAAUGUAUUAGUGGCGAUGUGGAAAAGCUACUGUGGGUGUGAUAAAUAUCUAUGCCUUAUGCAGUGUUCUGCUAUGCCGCUUGCAGGGAGGAAUUUCAUUUUUGACAAACUUGACCUCAAAUCAGGUAGGACUACCCGCUGAACUUAAGCAUAUCAAUAAGCGGAGGA
This 373-nucleotide unclassified non-coding RNA is filed under the name soil metagenome. RNAcentral's name for it is "partial contains 5.8S ribosomal RNA, internal transcribed spacer 2, and large subunit ribosomal RNA". The stretch from base 1 to 120 matches the Rfam family "5.8S ribosomal RNA", at positions 35 to 154 of the family's 154-position model. The record is from RNAcentral.